Molecule: ribosomal RNA, 440 nt
Filed under: uncultured bacterium
Lineage: Bacteria
Description: partial 16S ribosomal RNA
Rfam family: Bacterial small subunit ribosomal RNA
Source: RNAcentral
CCUACGGGAGGCUGCAGUGGGGAAUAUUGCACAAUGGGGGAAACCCUGAUGCAGCGACGCCGCGUGAGCGAUGAAGUAUUUCGGUAUGUAAAGCUCUAUCAGCAGGGAAGAAAAUGACGGUACCUGACUAAGAAGCCCCGGCUAACUACGUGCCAGCAGCCGCGGUAAUACGUAGGGGGCAAGCGUUAUCCGGAUUUACUGGGGGUAAAGGGGGCGCAGACGGCUGUGAAAGUCUGGAGUGAAAGGCGGGGGCCCAACCCCCGGACUGCUCUGGAAACUGUAAAGCUGGAGUGCAGGAGAGGUAAGCGGAAUUCCUAGUGUAGCGGUGAAAUGCGUAGAUAUUAGGAGGAACACCAGUGGCGAAGGCGGCUUACUGGACUGCAACUGACGUUGAGGCUCGAAAGCGUGGGGAGCAAACAGGAUUAGAUACCCUUGUAGUC